RNAcentral lists this long non-coding RNA (329 nucleotides) under Sorghum bicolor (sorghum). Its description in RNAcentral is "long non-coding RNA (SBIC_LNC003866)". Lineage: Eukaryota; Viridiplantae; Streptophyta; Magnoliopsida; Poales; Poaceae. The record is from RNAcentral.
CCUUAGCCUUCUCAGUAGCUUCCUUGUGCCUUUGCAGUGCUAACUUGUCCUCGCUCAUAGUCAAGCAAUGCACCAUAAAAAUCUGCGCCACCAACGAAAGUAUCAACAUUGGUUGCCUUGACCUAAAAAGGUGACGAAAUUAAGAAUUACAACAUCUAUCUCAACACCUGCAUAGAGAAUCUGUACAAGAUAUGAGAAGUAGAUUACCUCAACACUCCAUUGAUAACUCAACAAUUGACACAUUCAGAGGUACAUUCAGAAGGUACAUGCACCGAACCCUGGUGUUGGCAAUAUGUUAUGGUCUUUUUAAAAGUAGAGACUUUUUUUUU